CCUACGGGUGUCAGCAGUGAGGAAUAUUGGUCAAUGGGCGCGAGCCUGAACCAGCCAAGUAGCGUGAAGGAUGACUGCCCUACGGGUUGUAAACUUCUUUUAUAAAGGAAUAAAGUGAGGCACGUGGGCCUUUUUGUAUGUACUUUAUGAAUAAGGAUCGGCUAACUCCGUGCCAGCAGCCGCGGUAAUACGGAGGAUCCGAGCGUUAUCCGGAUUUGUUGGGUUUAAAGGGAGCGUAGAUGGGUUGUUAAGUCAGUUGUUAAAGUUUGCGGCUCAACCGUAAAAUUGCAAUUGAAACUGGCAGUCUUGAGUACAGUAGAGGUGGGCGGAAUUCGUGGUGUAGCGGUGAAAUGCUUAGAUAUCACGAAGAACUCCGAUUGCGAAGGCAGCUCACUGGACUGCAACUGACACUGAUGCUCGAAAGUGUGGGUAUCAAACAGGAUUAGAUACCCCAGUAGUC
This 460-nucleotide ribosomal RNA is filed under the name uncultured bacterium. RNAcentral's name for it is "partial 16S ribosomal RNA". It matches the Rfam family "Bacterial small subunit ribosomal RNA", at positions 338 to 795 of the family's 1533-position model. The record is from RNAcentral.